This 449-nucleotide ribosomal RNA is filed under the name uncultured bacterium. RNAcentral's name for it is "partial 16S ribosomal RNA". It matches the Rfam family "Bacterial small subunit ribosomal RNA", at positions 354 to 796 of the family's 1533-position model. The record is from RNAcentral.
GUCGAGAAUCUUUCACAAUGGGGGCAACCCUGAUGGAGCGACGCCGCGUGGAGGAUAAGGUCUUCGGAUUGUAAACUCCUGUCAUGCGUGAACAAGGUUGCUUGGUUAAUACCUGGGCAAAUUGAUGGUAACGCAAGAGGAAGAGACGGCUAACUCUGUGCCAGCAGCCGCGAUAAUACAGAGGUCUCAAGCGUUGUUCGGAAUCACUGGGCGUAAAGGGUGCGUAGGUGGGGUGGUAAGUCAGAUGUGAAAGCCCGGGGGUCAACCUCGGAACUGCAUCCGAUACUGCCAUGCUAGAGUACUGGAGAGGUGACUAGAAUUCUCGGUGUAGCAGUGAAAUGCGUAGAUAUCGAGAGGAAUACCAAAGGCGUAGGCAGGUCACUGGACAGUUACUGACACUGAGGCACGAAGGCCAGGGGAGCGAACGGGAUUAGAAACCCGGGUAGUCC